GCGACGUGCUACACUGACAGUCCACGGCAGAUUAUAAGGAAUCUUGUCAAUUCUAAAAUUUCUGGCGCACGGGUGAGUAACGCGUGGAUAACCUGCCUGGUAGACCGGGAUAACAGCUGGAAACUGCUGCUAAUACCGGAUACGCUUAAGGGAACGCAUGUUCUUUUAAGGAAAGCAAUCGUGCUAUCAUAUGGAUCCGCGUCCCAUUAGCUAGUUGAUGGUGUAAGGGACCACCAAAGAGACCAUUGGUAGCCGGCCUGAGAGUUCGACCGGCCACACUGGGACUGAGACUCGGCCCAGACUCCUACGGGAGGUAGCAUUGGGGAAUCUUCCACGAUGGGCGAAAGCCUGACAGAUCAACGCCUCGUGAGGGAAGAACGCCUUCUCGUUGUAAACCUCUGUCAUCAUUGAAAAACAGAUGACUGUGCUUGGAGAGGAAGCCCGGCUAUCUACGUGCCAGCUACCGCGGUAUAACGUAAGGGGCGAUCGUUGUCCGGAAUUACUGGGCGUAAAUGGCUCGUACGUGGUGCAUUAGUUUAUAUGUGAAAGAUCGUCGCUCGACGUCGAGAUUGGCUCUGAUUCUGCUGGAUUGACUGAUGAAACGGGACUCAAUUCCAGUGUAGCCCUGAAAUGCUUACAUUAGUUACGAACAUGAGUACCUAAUGCCGCUGUCUAGACGUAACUGAUACUCUAGCGCGUACCGUGGUCAACGCACAGGACUACAACCCUGGUAGUCCACGCCGUGACGAUGAGGGUACGUGUCGCGGUAUUCCCCCCCUUUGC
Molecule: ribosomal RNA, 783 nt
Filed under: uncultured bacterium
Lineage: Bacteria
Description: bacterial SSU rRNA
Rfam family: Bacterial small subunit ribosomal RNA
Source: RNAcentral